Malania oleifera is the source of this 106-nucleotide small nucleolar RNA. The record is from RefSeq and is a predicted model, not a curated record. Lineage: Eukaryota; Viridiplantae; Streptophyta; Magnoliopsida; Santalales; Ximeniaceae.
ACCUAAUGAUGUGGGCAUUGACGUAGUAGGUCCCUAAAAUGCUCCCAAGACUCAAAGAAAAGUUUCCCAUCCAUCUAUAAAAUACUCGUAAUGGCUCUCCGAAGCU